AAAGGCCUGUGAUGAAUAAAAUAUUGCCUACAUUGUCUGAUUAUAUCUAACAUGAAGAAAAAAAUCAUCUACUUCUGAGGCCUUU
Molecule: small nucleolar RNA, 85 nt
Organism: Lactuca sativa (garden lettuce)
Lineage: Eukaryota; Viridiplantae; Streptophyta; Magnoliopsida; Asterales; Asteraceae
Product: small nucleolar RNA SNORD34
Source: RefSeq, a predicted model, not a curated record